This is a long non-coding RNA of Talpa occidentalis (Iberian mole), 831 nucleotides long. RefSeq lists it as uncharacterized. The transcript has 6 exons. The record is from RefSeq and is a predicted model, not a curated record. NCBI's taxonomy places the organism in Eukaryota, Metazoa, Chordata, Mammalia, Eulipotyphla, Talpidae.
AUUCAGCUGCCACUCCAUAGGGCAUGCUGGGAAAUGCCAGAACUGGUCUUGUUAUGGCCAUCCUCAGCCUCAGGAGACUUAAGAAGAAAAGAGAAGAAAAAAGUCGAUUCCAUGGAGAGUGCAGUAUUCUUGUAGGGUGGGUGGCUCUGGAUGCCUGAUUCAAAAGCGGGGAAAGGGUAGCUGGACUCCAAGGAUCAAGGAUCAAAGAUCAGCUGCUAGACAUCAAAGUCAGAGGCCCACGGCAAAGGCCCACGGCAAAAAGUCUCAACAAAAAACAGAUUAUCAUGUUGGAAAAAAGAGAAAAAGGGGGCAUUUUAUUAAAGUCUAAGUUCUAAGAUUCUCACAAUUCUUAUACCCUACACUGGAACUGGACUUCCUUCUCAUGCAAGAGCUGUGCGAUCCUGACCUGUUGCUGUUUGACACGGGUCUCGAGCAUGUGCACCUGGGCUCUGAGCCGCUCCUGCUCUUGGAAACAGUCCUCCAGCGCCUGCAAAGAAUAAGCUCAAGCUUGAUGAGGAAACUUGGUCAAGAAUUCCCAUAGUUACUUCAAAAAGGGAUGAAAGGAGGUUGAGUCUUUCAGAGCAGUGGUGACAAGGAUGAAACUGAAUAUCGACAUUUUUCCCACUGAAAGAACUGCAAGAAGAAAAAGAAUUUAUAAUCUACUUUGAAUUUUUUGAGACCAGAGUUGAGUUCAGAAGCAAGUUGCUCCAGGAGCUCAGAUUCUGUUCCAGCCAUCUCUCGUCUAAGUGGCUGAGGAAAUUCUCUUGGUGGUUUGGUGGAGGGUGAGUGGUACAAUUGCCCAUAUGGAAGAGCAAAAAUGUAACCCCCAAA